RNAcentral lists this ribosomal RNA (253 nucleotides) under uncultured bacterium. Its description in RNAcentral is "partial 16S ribosomal RNA". It matches the Rfam family "Bacterial small subunit ribosomal RNA", at positions 524 to 776 of the family's 1533-position model. The record is from RNAcentral.
UACGGAGGGGGCGAGCGUUAUUCGGAAUUAUUGGGCGUAAAGGGCGCGUAGGCGGCUUCUUAAGUCAAAGGUGAAAUCCCUCGGCUCAACUGAGGAACUGCCUUUGAAACUGGGGAGCUUGAGGCCGGGAGGGGGUAGCGGAAUUCCCAGUGUAGCGGUGAAAUGCGUAGAUAUUGGGAGGAACACCAGUGGCGAAGGCGGCUACCUGGACCGGCACUGACGCUGAGGCGCGAAAGCGUGGGUAGCAAACAGG